AUUGAACGCUGGCGGCAUGCCUUACACAUGCAAGUCGAACGGUAACAGGUCUUCGGAUGCUGACGAGUGGCGAACGGGUGAGUAAUACAUCGGAACGUGCCUAGUAGUGGGGGAUAACUACUCAAAAGAGUGGCUAAUACCGCAUGAGAUCUACGGAUGAAAGCAGGGGAUCGCAAGACCUUGUGCUACUAGAGCGGCCGAUGGCAGAUUAGGUAGUUGGUGGGAUAAAAGCUUACCAAGCCGACGAUCUGUAGCUGGUCUGAGAGGACGAUCAGCCACACUGGAGCUGGGACACGGCCCAGACUCCUACGAGAGGCAGCAGUGGGGAAUUUUGGACAAUGGGCGCAAGCCUGAUCCAGCAAUGCCGCGUGCAGGAUGAAGGCCUUCGGGUUGUAAACUGCUUUUGUACGGAACGAAAAGCCCCGGGUUAAUACCCUGGGGUCAUGACGGUACCGUAAGAAUAAGCACCGGCUAACUACGUGCCAGCCGCCGCCGUAA
This 498-nucleotide ribosomal RNA is filed under the name uncultured bacterium. RNAcentral's name for it is "partial 16S ribosomal RNA". It matches the Rfam family "Bacterial small subunit ribosomal RNA", at positions 30 to 523 of the family's 1533-position model. The record is from RNAcentral.